RNAcentral lists this long non-coding RNA (2609 nucleotides) under Zea mays. Its description in RNAcentral is "long non-coding RNA (ZMAY_LNC004515)". The record is from RNAcentral. Lineage: Eukaryota; Viridiplantae; Streptophyta; Magnoliopsida; Poales; Poaceae.
CCAAGAUCUCAUCACCGCGUGAAAUAGGAGAGAGAGAGGCAAGGAACCACGAGGAGCUGCCAUCGGUGAAUUUUCUCUGUGUAGCCGUUCCAUCCUCGUGGUGUUGCUCUGGACGUCGCUGGUUCAUGUGUGGUCUCGCUGCUGACUCAUGCUCGGUGUGGGGAUCAUCAGAGCAAGUCCUUCGUCGCGGAGCCGCAGUCGGCACGGACCGCAACACCACCGCCACCUGUUCGAGGACUUCGUCGUCGGCUUUCUUCCUCCGUCGUAGUUGAUGCCUUGGCAUGGACAGGGCUCUACACUACACUAGUGAGGUCGCCUACCUUCCCCUUCUGCCUUCCACGCGCCAUAGCAGCCGAGUGCCUCAGCCCCCGCGUGUUCUUAGAUUGCCAGCGGGACCUCCACCUUAGGCUUUGUUUGGUUAUAGUGGGAUUGAAGUGGAUUGAGGUGUAUUGAAGGGGAUUGAAAAAAAAUUAGUUCAUAUUACACUCCAAUACACCACAUACCACCUCAAUCCACUUCAAUAUCAAAUUAUCCAAACAAGGCCUUAGGGAAUGGCGGCGCCGUCGUGUUCCUGUGUCUGAGAAAGAAGAUUGAGUUUGUGGUGUGGAUCAGAAAAUGGACGGGUAGGAUUGACGGAGCGAUGAGAGAAGUUGUUCGCAGUAGGAUUUUCAUUUGACGAUCAGGAUCGGAUCUAGGCAGUCUCGGGUCAGAUGGGAUCUACACCGUAGAAUUUGGAUCCCGGGGUCGACAUCGAAUACCGAUUCAAGGUGAUACUAGAUCUAAUGCUGACCAUACGAUAUGGAUCUAGCGGUUCACAUUCCAUACCGAUUCGCUUACAGCGCAACUUAAUCUGGACCGUAGAUCAGAUCCGACGGCCGAGAUCUAGAGAUACCCCUUCGCCGUGCCUAUUUGCUAAAGAGCCCCUGGAAAAUAAAAGAAAUAACCUGCAGUCCUUGUUCUACUGUUACCUGGGUCUGGUGAAGCUUCUGAGUUAGCCCCUGCACUUUCUGGGAUUUGGCGCGCAGUCCAGACUGAUUAUAAAACAGAGAAAAUCAUUUAGAAAUUGAUUUUUAGUACAAAAAUAAUUCGAGAAACUUGUAUAAAUCAUAUUUAAUUCAUUUUAACUCCUUUUUGACCCAUUCCAAUUCCUAUAAUUUUAUAAUAUUAUUGUUUAUCAAAUAGUGCCACUGUUUUGACAUGAAAGCCAUACCAAAAUUAAUAUCCUACUUAAUCUUUUAUCCAACACUUAAAACUUUAUAAAUUCAUAACUCCUCCGUUUUAACUCUGAUUUGAUCCGUUCAAGUUGCGUUAGUCUCGUAUAAAUAUUUACUAUGCAAUAACAACAUUUAUUGUGUCAUGUCUCAUUAUUUUCUAAUUAGAUCUUUAUUUAAUUUAGGUGGGUUAGUCUUGUUAAUCUACUUGUCAUUAUAAUCUACUAGAAGAUGAUCUAUGGUCAAUUCAUAACUUAGAUUAAAGUUGAGGUAAUUACUUAUAGAAUAACCUCUCAUAUGAUUUAUAUUAACCAAUUUAUAAUAUAGUUUAACAUUUUAAUCACAUAAAUGCCCCAUAAAAUCAUGACUCCAAUUUUGGUGGUUCUCGAUUCCGCGAUCUUGUAGCUUCACAUAGAUCAUUAUUAUCCAAUUUAUGCUUAUGUUUGGUGUGAUGUUAAUGUUGUCUAUACCAUGUUUGUUUGUAUUGCUACGACUAACGCGAGGUUUCAAGGAUCUGAAGAAUCACCCUGGUAACUGGAAUCUCAAGUGCCAAGCAGGUUGUGCCCUUGAUCACUUUUGUUUACCCAAUAAUGUUCUUUAUUAUCACUAUUCAAUGCAUAGGUUUAAUUUUGAUGGGGCCCAAUAGGUCGCCCUAGUCUGUUUAUCCUGUUUACCUUGUUUACCCCUGAAUCACAUGGGUAGUUUUUCCUAUUGCUUUACUUGGUUUUAGGUUAAUAUUUCAUUAUAUCCAUGUUCCAAUUAUUCUGUUAUUUUAUUUAUGUUCAUGUCAAGAUCAUCUUUAUUGUUAAUUGGAACAUGGAGCUUAACUUGAGAAACACGUGCCACCACAAGGGAGGAAUGGGACCCCUUGGCUAACUAAUUAGGGAAGCUAGUGGAAGACUACCUUACCCGAAAGGGGCAAGGGCAGUAGGGGAGUUGCAUGCAAGGAGGUUCUCGGGUUGAUUUUGCUGCGAUGGCGAUUAGACAGGGGAUUCUUGCAAGUGCUCUUCCCAUAAACUGUAGCUGGUUUUUGGAAGCUAGUGGAACUUUCUAAAGGCCUCGUAGUGGAUCCCUAGCCAUUCACCUACCUUGGUAGUAUCUAAGGGUCUAGCUAACCCUGGCGACAUGGGAAACACGACUUGUGGGUAAAGGGUACAACCUCCGGAGAGUGUAAAACUGGUAUACUAGCCGUGCUCGCGGUCAUGAGCAGCUCAGGACUCUCCGAUGAUUAAUUUAUGGAACUUAAAUUCAAUUUGUCAUAUGCAUUGCAUGGGAUCAUUUGUUAAUUUUGUUCUAUUAUUACUUAUUAUUGUUUGGCAUUUACUUACAUCUAGUAAUUGCUAAUAAAACUUUGACCAACUUUAAAAGCAAUGCUCAGCUUUAACCAUUCUCUUUGGU